UACGUAGGCAGCAAGCGUUGUUCGGAGUUACUGGGCGUAAAGGGUGUGUAGGCGGUUGUUUAAGUUUGGUGUGAAAUCUCCCGGCUCAACCGGGAGGGUGCGCCGAAUACUGAAUAACUAGAGUGCGGGAGAGGAAAGUGGAAUUCCUGGUGUAGCGGUGAAAUGCGCAGAUAUCGGGAAGAACACCCGUGGCGAAGGCGGCUCUCUGGGACGGUACUGACGCUGAGACGCGAAAGCGUGGGGAGCGAACAGG
Molecule: ribosomal RNA, 253 nt
Filed under: uncultured bacterium
Lineage: Bacteria
Description: partial 16S ribosomal RNA
Rfam family: Bacterial small subunit ribosomal RNA
Source: RNAcentral